UGACAUAUUCUUUGUUCGUAUACUUCAGUUGAUGGCAAUGAAAUGAUUUCAUAUUUGUUUUCAACUUUUCUGGGCAGGAUAAACUAAUGGUUUAUCAAACUGUUAGGAGGGGAUCUGAAUUGCUUGGAGUUGAUGAAAUUGAAUGUUCAUCUAUUAAAAGAGAGAACUGAAAUAGGGAAUAUGGAAGGUUUCAAGUGUAAGAAUAAGGAAUGGCACGUCUUUCCAUGGAAUUAAAGACUGCUUGAUAAAGCUGCUGAUAAAACUCAGCAAUUUAUGGAAAAAACUGCAGAAAAAGAUUGAUCAA
Molecule: unclassified non-coding RNA, 304 nt
Filed under: Hevea brasiliensis (rubber tree)
Lineage: Eukaryota; Viridiplantae; Streptophyta; Magnoliopsida; Malpighiales; Euphorbiaceae
Source: RNAcentral